Molecule: non-coding RNA, 261 nt
Organism: Pelobates cultripes (western spadefoot toad)
Lineage: Eukaryota; Metazoa; Chordata; Amphibia; Anura; Pelobatidae
Source: the annotation of a GenBank genome assembly
CGGAUGUCUACCCUAUCAACUUUCAAUGGUACUUUCUGCGCCUACCAUGGUGACCACGGGUAACGGGGAAUCAGGGUUCGAUUCCGGAGAGGGAGCCUGAGAAACGGCUACCACAUCCAAGGAAGGUAGCAGGCGUGCAAAUUAACCACUUCCGACGUGGGGAGGUAGUGACGAAAAAUAACAAUACAGGACUCUUUUGAGGCCCUGUAAUUGGAAUGAGUACACUUUAGAUCCUUUAAUGAGGAUCUAUUGGAGGGCAAG